CCUACGGGUGGCAGCAGUGAGGAAUAUUGGUCAAUGGACGAGAGUCUGAACCAGCCAAGUAGCGUGAAGGAUGACUGCCCUAUGGGUUGUAAACUUCUUUUAUAUGGGAAUAAAACAGGGUAUGCAUACCCUCUUGUAUGUACCAUAUGAAUAAGGAUCGGCUAACUCCGUGCCAGCAGCCGCGGUAAUACGGAGGAUCCGAGCGUUAUCCGGAUUUAUCGGGUUUAAAGGGAGCGUAGGUGGAUUGUUAAGUCAGUUGUGAAAGUUUGCGGCUCAACCGUAAAAUUGCAGUUGAAACUGGCAGUCUUGAGUACAGUAGAGGUGGGCGGAAUUCGUGGUGUAGCGGUGAAAUGCUUAGAUAUCACGAAGAACUCCGAUUGCGAAGGCAGCUCACUGGACUGCAACUGACGCUGAGGUUCGAAAGCGUGGGUAGCAAACAGGAUUAGAUACCCGGGUAGUC
This 460-nucleotide ribosomal RNA is filed under the name uncultured bacterium. RNAcentral's name for it is "partial 16S ribosomal RNA". It matches the Rfam family "Bacterial small subunit ribosomal RNA", at positions 338 to 795 of the family's 1533-position model. The record is from RNAcentral.